Molecule: transfer RNA, 82 nt
Organism: Toxocara canis (dog roundworm)
Lineage: Eukaryota; Metazoa; Nematoda; Chromadorea; Rhabditida; Toxocaridae
Rfam family: tRNA
About the family: Transfer RNA (tRNA) molecules are approximately 80 nucleotides in length.
Source: Rfam
GGCGAGAUGGCCGAGCGGCCUAAGGCGCUGGUUUAAUGCAAAAGUCUCUCUGGAGGCGUGGGUUCGAAUCCCGCUCUCGUCA